Molecule: transfer RNA, 62 nt
Filed under: Heterocephalus glaber (naked mole-rat)
Lineage: Eukaryota; Metazoa; Chordata; Mammalia; Rodentia; Bathyergidae
Rfam family: tRNA
About the family: Transfer RNA (tRNA) molecules are approximately 80 nucleotides in length. Their secondary structure includes four short double-helical elements and three loops (D, anti-codon, and T loops).
Source: Rfam by way of RNAcentral
UGUAGCUCAAUGGUAGAGUGCAUGCUUAACAUGUGGAAGAGCUCUGGGUUCAAUUCCCAGCA